Molecule: long non-coding RNA, 871 nt
Organism: Limulus polyphemus (Atlantic horseshoe crab)
Lineage: Eukaryota; Metazoa; Arthropoda; Merostomata; Xiphosura; Limulidae
Exons: 3
Source: RefSeq, a predicted model, not a curated record
UGACACGCGAGAAAAUAAAGUAACUUCAGUCGAAAGAAUCGAACCUUUAGAUAGCUUUCUGAAAUUUAGUGUAUCUACAAUGUGUCUAAGCUUAAUAAAUCUGCCCUUUAACAUUUAGUUAAUGUUAGACCAUGUAUCUUGAAAUUUAUAGUCCAUUUAGGUCUGGAACAAAAUGUUUCACAAAAAAUGCUGUGAUGAAAUUUAACUAAAUUUUCACUCGUGCCGUUGUGUUGAGAAAAACUACUAAUGCACUGUCAUCUGUGGGAGUCAUCUGUAUUAGCUCAAUCCAUUUAGUGAGUUUCCUGUUACACUUUGGAAGAUCUUCUCUACACUGCCAUGGUGUUGUACUGGUAUUAAUUACAAAAUAAAAUACAUAUAUAUGCACUACUGUGUAAUUUCCAGUUGAUAAAAUGUAUUUAUUGCUAAGCAAAUGUAACAUUAAUUUACUGACAACUUCUCUGUUGAGAUGUCGUCUGUGGUACUCCCAGGCUAGGGAACCAUUUCAUUUUCUUGCAGUGCUAAAAAGUGAAGUGCAUGUUAAUGUAAAUAUUUCUUCCAUAAGAUCAUUUUGCUCAAAGUACCCCAACAUUUCGAAACUUGAAUAUGUAGCUCUAAUUAAAUCACAGUAUUUGGCAGAACAGCUUGGCUGUGCUCAUAGCACUGCAGCUACUCUUUUGAAGGUUAAUGAAUCACUUCUAACCAUGACACCGAAACAAAUUUCAAAAACAGCAAUGGUUGUUAAAAAUAUAUUUACAAUUCAAGACAUCUUAAAUCACCCAAAAAUUUUAAGUGUAAAUCAUGGAUUUGUGGAACAACGACAUCAGAUUCUAAAGGAAGUGGGAUUUACCGAUAUAACACCUGGAAAAAUAGU